ACUUUCAACAACGGAUCUCUUGGUUCUGGCAUCGAUGAAGAACGCAGCAAAAUGCGAUAAGUAAUGUGAAUUGCAGAAUUCAGUGAAUCAUCGAAUCUUUGAACGCACAUUGCGCCUGCCAGUAUUCUGGCGGGCAUGCCUGUUCGAGCGUCAUUUCAACCCUCAAGCACAGCUUGGUGUUGGGACUCGCGUUAAUUCGCGUUCCCCAAAUUGAUUGGCGGUCACGUCGAGCUUCCAUAGCGUAGUAGUAAAACCCUCGUUACUGGUAAUCGUCGCGGCCACGCCGUUAAACCCCAACUUCUGAAUGUUGACCUCGGAUCAGGUAGGAAUACCCGCUGAACUUAAGCAUAUCAAUAAGCGGAGGAAAAGAAACCAACAGGGAUUGCCCUAGUAACGGCGAGUGAAGCGGCAACAGCUCAAAUUUGAAAUCUGGCUCUCGGGCCCGAGUUGUAAUUUGUAGAGGAUACUUUUGAUGCGGUGCCUUCCGAGUUCCCUGGAACGGGACGCCAUAGAGGGUGAGAGCCCCGUCUGGUUGGAUGCCAAAUCUCUGUAAAGUUCCUUCAACGAGUCGAGUAGUUUGGGAAUGCUGCUCUAAAUGGGAGGUAUAUGUCUUCUAAAGCUAAAUACCGGCCAGAGACCGAUAGCGCACAAGUAGAGUGAUCGAAAGAUGAAAAGCACUUUGAAAAGAGAGUUAAAAAGUACGUGAAAUUGUUGAAAGGGAAGCGUUUAUGACCAGACUUGGGCUUGGUUAAUCAUCUGGGGUUCUCCCCAGUGCACUUUUCCAGUCCAGGCCAGCAUCAGUUUUCCCCGGGGGAUAAAGGCGGCGGGAAUGUGGCUCUCUUCGGGGAGUGUUAUAGCCCACCGUGUAAUACCCUGGGGGGGACUGAGGUUCGCGCAUCUGCAAGGAUGCUGGCGUAAUGGUCAUCAACGACCCGUCUUGAAACACGGACCAAGGAGUCGUCUUCGUAUGCGAGUGUUCGGGUGUCAAACCCCUACGCGUAAUGAAAGUGAACGCAGGUGAGAGCUUCGGCGCAUCAUCGACCGAUCCUGAUGUUCUCGGAUGGAUUUGAGUAAGAGCAUACGGGGCCGGACCCGAAAGAAGGUGAACUAUGCCUGUAUAGGGUGAAGCCAGAGGAAACUCUGGUGGAGGCUCGCAGCGGUUCUGACGUGCAAAUCGAUCGUCAAAUAUGGGCAUGGGGGCGAAAGACUAAUCGAACCUUCUAGUAGCUGGUUUCCGCCGAAGUUUCCCUCAGGAUAGCAGUGUUGAACUCAGUUUUAUGAGGUAAAGCGAAUGAUUAGGGACUCGGGGGCGCUAUUUAGCCUUCAUCCAUUCUCAAACUUUAAAUAUGUAAGAAGCUCUUGUUGCUUAAUUGAACGUGAGCAUUCGAAUGUAUCAACACUAGUGGGCCAUUUUUGGUAAGCAGAACUGGCGAUGCGGGAUGAACCGAACGCGAGGUUAAGGUGCCAGAGUAGACGCUCAUCAGACACCACAAAAGGUGUUAGUACAUCUUGACAGCAGGACGGUGGCCAUGGAAGUCGGAAUCCGCUAAGGACUGUGUAACAACUCACCUGCCGAAUGUACUAGCCCUGAAAAUGGAUGGCGCUCAAGCGUCUCACCCAUACCUCGCCCUCAGGGUAGAAACGAUGCCCUGAGGAGUAGGCGGACGUGGAGGUCAGUGACGAAGCCUAGGGCGUGAGCCCGGGUUGAACGGCCUCUAGUGCAGAUCUUGGUGGUAGUAGCAAAUACUUCAAUGAGAACUUGAAGGACCGAAGUGGGGAAAGGUUCCAUGUGAACAGCGGUUGGACAUGGGUUAGUCGAUCCUAAGCCAUAGGGAAGUUCCGUUUCAAAGGUGCACUUUGCACCGUCUGGCGAAAGGGAAGCCGGUCAAUAUUCCGGCACCUGGAUGUGGGUUUUGCGCGGCAACGCAACUGAACGUGGAGACGACGGCGGGGGCCCCGGGCAGAGUUCUCUUUUCUUCUUAACAGUCUCUCACCCUGAAAUCGGUUUGUCCGGAGCUAGGGUUUAAUGGCUGGAAGAGCCCAGCACCUCUGCUGGGUCCGGUGCGCUCUCGACGUCCCUUGAAAAUCCACGGGAGGAAAUAAUUCUCACGCCAGGUCGUACUCAUAACCGCAGCAGGUCUCCAAGGUGAACAGCCUCUGGUUGAUAGAACAAUGUAGAUAAGGGAAGUCGGCAAAAUAGAUCCGUAACUUCGGGAUAAGGAUUGGCUCUAAGGGUUGGGCACGUUGGGCCUUGGGCGGACGCCUUGGGAGCAGGCUGCCACUAGUCGGGCAACCGACCGGCGGCGGCCAGCAUCCGAGUGUUGAUGCCCUUGGCAGGCUUCGGCCGUCCGGCGUGCGGUUAACAACCAACUUAGAACUGGUACGGACAAGGGGAAUCUGACUGUCU
This 2407-nucleotide ribosomal RNA is filed under the name Fusarium oxysporum f. sp. lycopersici. Its description in RNAcentral is "eukaryotic LSU rRNA". The stretch from base 309 to 2407 matches the Rfam family "Eukaryotic large subunit ribosomal RNA", at positions 1 to 2143 of the family's 3401-position model. Lineage: Eukaryota; Fungi; Ascomycota; Sordariomycetes; Hypocreales; Nectriaceae. The record is from RNAcentral.